This 446-nucleotide ribosomal RNA is filed under the name uncultured bacterium. Its description in RNAcentral is "bacterial SSU rRNA". It matches the Rfam family "Bacterial small subunit ribosomal RNA", at positions 330 to 793 of the family's 1533-position model. The record is from RNAcentral.
GCCAGACUCCUACGGGAGGCAGCAGUGGGGAAUAUUGCACAAUGGGGGGAACCCUGAUGCAGCGACGCCGCGUGAGUGAAGAAGUAUCUCGGUACGUAAAGCUCUAUCAGCAGGGAAGAAAAUGACGGUACCUGACUAAGAAGCCCCGGCUAACUACGUGCCAGCAGCCGCGGUAAUACGUAGGGGGCGAGCGUUAUCCGGAUUCACUGGGUGUAAAGGGAGCGUAGACGGCCAUGCAAGCCAGGGGUGAAAGCCCGGGGCCCAACCCCGGGACUGCCCUUGGAACUGCAUGGCUGGAGUGCGGGAGGGGGAGGCGGAAUUCCUGGUGUAGCGGUGAAAUGCGUAGAUAUCAGGAGGAACACCGGCGGCGAAGGCGGCCUGCUGGACCGCGACUGACGUUGAGGCUCGAAAGCGUGGGGAGCGAACAGGAUUAGAUACCCCCGUAC